This 194-nucleotide ribosomal RNA is filed under the name uncultured bacterium WkB29. Its description in RNAcentral is "partial 16S ribosomal RNA". The record is from RNAcentral.
AUUACCGCGGCUGCUGGCACGAGUUUAGCCGGUGCUUUCUCUAGUAGUACCGUCAUCCCUCGUCUGUAUUAGAAACGAGGCUUUCUUCCCACUUAACAGAAGUUUACAAUCCUAAGACCUUCAUCCUCCACGCGGCGUUGCUGCGUCAGGCUUUCGCCCAUUGCGCAAUAUUCCUCACUGCUGCCUCCCGUAGG